This 108-nucleotide ribosomal RNA is filed under the name Gloeocystidiellum sp. NH13258. RNAcentral describes it as "partial 5.8S ribosomal RNA". The stretch from base 1 to 89 matches the Rfam family "5.8S ribosomal RNA", at positions 66 to 154 of the family's 154-position model. Rfam says of the family: 5.8S ribosomal RNA (5.8S rRNA) is a component of the large subunit of the eukaryotic ribosome. Lineage: Eukaryota; Fungi; Basidiomycota; Agaricomycetes; Russulales; Gloeocystidiellaceae. The record is from RNAcentral.
UGUGAAUUGCAGAAUUCAGUGAAUCAUCGAAUCUUUGAACGCACCUUGCGCCCCUUGGUAUUCCGAGGGGCACGCCUGUUUGAGUGUCGUGAAAUUCUCAACCCUCGU